GCAGUAGUGGCUCAGUUGUAGAAUUCUCACCUUGCAUGUGGGAGACCAGGGUUCAAUUCCCAGCCAAUGUA
RNAcentral lists this transfer RNA (71 nucleotides) under Loxodonta africana (African savanna elephant). It matches the Rfam family "tRNA". From Rfam's summary of the family: Transfer RNA (tRNA) molecules are approximately 80 nucleotides in length. Their secondary structure includes four short double-helical elements and three loops (D, anti-codon, and T loops). The record is from Rfam by way of RNAcentral. Lineage: Eukaryota; Metazoa; Chordata; Mammalia; Proboscidea; Elephantidae.